This 253-nucleotide ribosomal RNA is filed under the name uncultured bacterium. Its description in RNAcentral is "partial 16S ribosomal RNA". It matches the Rfam family "Bacterial small subunit ribosomal RNA", at positions 524 to 776 of the family's 1533-position model. The record is from RNAcentral.
UACAGAGGGGGCAAGCGUUGUUCGGAAUUACUGGGCGUAAAGGGCGCGUAGGCGGCCUGCUAAGUCGAACGUGAAAUCCCCGGGCUCAACCCGGGAACUGCGUCCGAUACUGGCAGGCUUGAAUCCGGGAGAGGGAUGCGGAAUUCCAGGUGUAGCGGUGAAAUGCGUAGAUAUCUGGAGGAACACCGGUGGCGAAGGCGGCUCACUGGCCCGAUACUGACGCUGAGGUGCGAAAGCGUGGGGAGCAAACAGG